GGGAAUUUUGCGCAAUGGGCGGAAGCCUGACGCAGCAACGCCGCGUGGAGGAAGAAGGCCCUCGGGUCGUAAACUCCUGUCCAUGGGGAAGCUGGUGACGGUACCCUUGGAGGAAGCCCCGGCUAACUCCGUGCCAGCAGCCGCGGUAAUACGGAGGGGGCUAGCGUUGUUCGGAAUUACUGGGCGUAAAGCGCACGUAGGCGGACCGGAAAGUCAGAGGUGAAAUCCCAGGGCUCAACCUUGGAACUGCCUUUGAAACUCCUGGUCUUGAGGUCGAGAGAGGUGAGUGGAAUUCCGAGUGUAGAGGUGAAAUUCGUAGAUAUUCGGAGGAACACCAGUGGCGAAGGCGGCUCACUGGCUCGAUACUGACGCUGAGGUGCGAAAGCGUGGGGAGCAAAC
This 399-nucleotide ribosomal RNA is filed under the name uncultured bacterium. Its description in RNAcentral is "bacterial SSU rRNA". It matches the Rfam family "Bacterial small subunit ribosomal RNA", at positions 357 to 773 of the family's 1533-position model. The record is from RNAcentral.